RNAcentral lists this ribosomal RNA (452 nucleotides) under uncultured bacterium. RNAcentral describes it as "SSU rRNA". It matches the Rfam family "Bacterial small subunit ribosomal RNA", at positions 26 to 518 of the family's 1533-position model. The record is from RNAcentral.
AGAACGAACGCUGGCGGCAUGCCUAACACAUGCAAGUCGAACGCUCUUGGUUUCGGCCAAGGGAGUGGCGCACGGGUGAGUAACGCGUGGGAACCUGCCCUGGAGCGGGGGAUAACCGAGGGAAACCUCGGCUAAUACCGCAUACGACCUGAGGGUGAAAGAUUUAUCGCUCUAGGAGGGGCCCGCGUCGGAUUAGCUAGUUGGUGAGGUAACGGCCCACCAAGGCUAUGAUCCGUAGCUGGUCUGAGAGGAUGAUCAGCCACACUGGGACUGAGACACGGCCCAGACUCCUAUGGGAGGCAGCAGUGGGGAAUAUUGGACAAUGGGCGCAAGCCUGAUCCAGCAAUGCCGCGUGAGUGAUGAAGGCCUUAGGGUUGUAAAGCUCUUUCACACGCGACGAUGAUGACGGUAGCGUGAGAAGAAGCCCCGGCUAACUUCGUGCCAGCAGCCGC